AUACGGAGGGAGCGAGCGUUAAUCGGAAUUACUGGGCGUAAAGCGCGCGUAGGCGGCUUUGUAAGUCGGAUGUGAAAGCCCUGGGCUUAACCUGGGAAUGGCAUUCGAUACUGCAGAACUAGAGUAUGGUAGAGGGAAGUGGAAUUUCCGGUGUAGCGGUGAAAUGCGUAGAUAUCGGAAGGAACACCAGUGGCGAAGGCGACUUCCUGGGCCAAUACUGACGCUGAGGUGCGAAAGCGUGGGGAGCAAACAGGAUUAGAAACCCCUGUAGUCC
This 274-nucleotide ribosomal RNA is filed under the name uncultured bacterium. RNAcentral describes it as "partial 16S ribosomal RNA". It matches the Rfam family "Bacterial small subunit ribosomal RNA", at positions 523 to 796 of the family's 1533-position model. The record is from RNAcentral.